UACGUAGGGGGCUAGCGUUGUCCGGAUUUAUUGGGCGUAAAGAGCGUGUAGGCGGCCAUGUAGGUCCGGUGUGAAAACUCGAGGCUCAACCUCGAGACGUCGGUUGAAACCGUACGGCUAGAGUCCGGAAGAGGAGAGUGGAAUUCCCGGUGUAGCGGUGAAAUGCGCAGAUAUCGGGAAGAACACCCGUGGCGAAGGCGGCUCUCUGGGACGGUACUGACGCUGAGACGCGAAAGCGUGGGGAGCGAACAGG
This 253-nucleotide ribosomal RNA is filed under the name uncultured bacterium. RNAcentral's name for it is "partial 16S ribosomal RNA". It matches the Rfam family "Bacterial small subunit ribosomal RNA", at positions 524 to 776 of the family's 1533-position model. The record is from RNAcentral.